RNAcentral lists this ribosomal RNA (3048 nucleotides) under Triticum aestivum (bread wheat). RNAcentral describes it as "partial small subunit ribosomal RNA". Lineage: Eukaryota; Viridiplantae; Streptophyta; Magnoliopsida; Poales; Poaceae. The record is from RNAcentral.
AUGGCGCCGGAGACGAGGAGCGGGAGGGCGAGGGAGCCGCGCGCAUCGGAGACCGCGUCGCCGCCGCCGCCGGUGCAGCGCCCUCGGCUCACGCGCGCCGGAAGCAGGGGGGAUGCGCCGACCCGUGGCCGCUCGAGUCAGGUUAAUGAGAAUGCCAAGAGCAGAUUCCAGCAUUUGGCAAGUUCGGUACAAAAUGAUGUUAUGCAGUUAAAGGCGGCGACCGGAGAGGAUGAGGGAGGGCAAGGGAGGCAUGCGCGUCGGAGACCGCGUCUCCAAGACCUUGUUGCCGUCGUUCCGCGGAUGACGAGGAGGAGGGCAAGGGAGGCAUGCGCGUCGGAGACCGCGUCGCCGUCGUUGCAGCGCACUCGACUCACGCGCGGCGGAAGCAUGGGGGAGGCCCCGACCAGUGGCCGCUCCGGUAAGGUUAAUGAGGAUGUCAAGAGCAGAUUCCAGCAUUUCGCAAGUUCAGUACAAAAUGAUAUGCAGUUAAACAGAGCCAUGGAGGCAUCACUGGAUUAUAUGUCAGAUAUGUCUGGAAACGACUACGCUGCAGCCUCUUCUUCGCGGAUGAUAAACACGGGCGAUGAAGCCGUAGAACCGUUGUCACGUCAUGACGGUCCCAACACCUUGGGCACAUACAAGGAUGGGCAGGACAACUACACAUCCACUGGUCAUGAUGAGCCUGGUACCGCCACAAAUCCUGAAGAUGCGACCCAUCGCGACGAAGGGACCGGCCAAGGGGACCAGGCAGCUGGACAACCCAAAAGGCAACGCAAGCCUAGGCGCCGAAACAAGCUUGGCACCAAUAGGAUUGUUAUCAACCGAGUGUCUGAGGCGGGUCUACCUGUUAGUCCCAAGAAGGCCGAAGAAGGUUACAGGAAUGCCCUAGGCUGCAUCCUUCGCGAAACCGUGAGCAUUAAUGAAACCAAUCUCAGGUCGAAAGCGAACGGGAAUUUGCGAGCGCUCCUCAUAUCGAAGCUGCACACUCAUUACAAGUUCCCGGAUGAGUCCCUAGACGAGACCACUCCGGUAAAUAACAGAGCCCUCUGCAAGUGGUCCAAGCUUUUGAGUAGUUGGAAAUCCAAGGCCAAAAGCGAAUACCUUAAGAAAGAUUAUGAAACCGAGAUAAAAAAGAUCUGGCCUUCGGUUUCCGAGGAGGACUGGAACCUGUUCAAGCAGCACUGCGAGACCCCUGAAGUCAAGGAGAUGGAAAAAUGGGGAAAGGAUAUGUGGGCUAAGAGCAUUGGUAACCACACCCUUGGCAGCCGUGGUUACCCAGGGAAGAAGCCAAAGUGGGACAAGCAGGACACUGAGUUCGCUGCAGCAGGCAACUAUCCUGUCAUGGUGCCGGAGACGAGGAGUAGGAUGGUGCACGCAUCGGAGACCGCGUUGCCCUUGGCGCAGCGCCCUCGACUCACGCGCGCUGGAAGCAGGGUGGAUGCACCGACCAGUGGCCGCUCCGGUCAAGUUAAUGAGGAUGUUGAGAGCAGAUUCCAGCAUUUGGCAAGUUCAGUACAAAACGAUGUUAUGCAGUUAAAGGCGACGACCGGAGAGGACGAGGGAGGUGCGCUCACCCAAGACCUCGUUGCCGUUGUUCCACCGAUGACAAGGAGGAGGGCGAGGGAGGCAUGCGCAUCGGACACCGCAUUGCCGUCGUUGCAGCGCACUCGACUCACACGUGGCGGAAGCAGGGGGGAGGCGCUGACCAGUGGCCGCUCCGAUAUGUCUGGAAACGACUCCGCCGCAGCCUCUUCUUCACGGACGAUAAGCGCGGGCGAUGAGGCUGUAGAACCAUCCACUGUUCAUGAUGAGUCCGGCACCGCCACAAAUCCUGAAGAUGCGACCGAUCGCGACGAAGGGACCAGCCAAGGGGACCAGGCAGCUGGACAACCUAAAAAGCAACGCAAACCUAGACGCCCAAACAUGCUUGGCACCGAUAGGAUUGUUAUCAACCGAGUGUCUGAGGCGGGUCUACCUCUUAGUCCCAAGAAGGCCGAACAAGGUUACAGUAAUGGCCUAGGCUGCAUCCUUCGUGAAACCGUGAGCAUUAAUGAAACCAAUCUCAGGUCGAAAGCGAACGAGAAUUUGCGAGCACUCCUCCUAUCGAAGUUGCACACUCAUUACAAGUUCCCGGAUGAGUCCCUAGACGAGACCACUCCGGUAAAUAACAGAGCCCUCUGCAAGUGGACCAAGCUUUUGAGUAGUUGGAAAUCCAAAGCCAAAAGCGAAUACCUUGAGAAAGAUUACGAAACUGAGAUAAAAAAGAAGUGGCCUUCGGUUUCUGAGGAGGACUGGAACCUGUUCAAGCAGCACUGCGAGACCCCUGAAGUCAAGGAGAUGGAAAAAUGGGGGAAGGAAAUGCGGGCAAGGAACAUUGGUCACCACACCCUUGGAAGCCGUGGUUACCCAGGGAAGAAGCCGAAGUGGGACAAGCAGGACGCUGAGUUUGCUGCAGCGGGCAUACCAAACCCCUUCAAGGAAUUUGAAAACCCGCGUGAAAAUGAUUACAUCAGGGGCCGGUGCAAAUAUGAUGAAGAGACUAAGACAUGGGUCUUGGACGAGAAAACGGCGAAAGUCAAGGAACUCCUGAGGCAGUAUCAUGUGGAAUCUCAAAGCUCCCAGGAGUCAGAGUGCUCGGCAAGGUGGGACGACCCUCUGAACAGGUCGAUCAACGUGGUGCUCGGCAAGGACCCGAAAACGAGGCCGGCUUAUGGCCGUGUGAACGGCGUCGGGAUCAACGAAAAAUGGGACACACAUUAUCCCGAAGACCGCGAGGUUGCAAGGCAGAGAAGGAGAGCCGGGCGAGCUAGUUUCGAAUCCAGAUUGGCUGGAAUGAGAGAAGAGCUUAAAGAAGAAAUGAGAGAGGAAGUCGAGGUGAAAGCGAAAGCCAUGGCGACAGCCCAAGUCAUGGAAAUGUGGCCCGAUCUAGUUGAGGCCGUCAAGCGAAGUUUAGCAUCGGGGCAAACAGCGCCGCCAUCAUCCUCUGCCACGUUGGCGCCGGGCAAUGCCAUUUUGGAGAAAGAGCCGCGUCCUGGUGCAACAUCAUAG